GACAGAGGUGCCGAGCGUUAGGCGGAAUCACUGGGCUUAAAGCGUGUGUAGGGGGGUGCCUAAGUACCUUGUGAAAUCCCACGGCUCAACCGUGGAACUGCUUGGUAUACUGGGUAUCUUGAGCCACUUAGGGGCAACCGGAACAAACGGUGGAGCGGUGAAAUGCGUAGAUAUCGUCUGGAACGCCGAAGGUGAAAACAGCUCGCUGGGGCUGUGCUGACGCUGAGACACGAAAGCCAGGGGAGCGAACGGG
Molecule: ribosomal RNA, 253 nt
Filed under: uncultured bacterium
Lineage: Bacteria
Description: partial 16S ribosomal RNA
Rfam family: Bacterial small subunit ribosomal RNA
Source: RNAcentral